UUUCUGUAAUCUAUCAUUGACUUUUUAUGGAUCUUGAUAUGCUGUUAAGUAUGUUAUUAAAGCUUAAAACAGGAGUGCUUCUGGCUACUAGUCUGUGACUUAUUACAUGAUCUGGGCUUCACACCUUAUCCGGGGAAAUCUCGGAUGUCCAAUAGAGUAUUUAUGUAAUAAUAGGGCAAGGCACAAGAGUUCACUACAUAAAAAUAUAACUGACUGGACGGCAAGUAUAAUGUGGAUUACCAUGGGUGGGAGGGAAUUAACCAUUCACUAAUUGGUGACUACCACAGGCAGCCCUCACCUCAGUAAUACCACUGUUUCCUAUUCAUGUGGGACAUCGACGAUGACACUGGAUCCACAGCUUGACCACUGUCUAGCCGUGCAUGAGUGAAGGUAUUGGUUGAUGAUGGAGGGACCGAGCUUGUAUAGAUACCUGAGCUCGUUGCUUGAACCUUGUUUGAGUUCUGGGCCAAUCAAAGAUUGUGGUCAAUGAACAUGUCUUUUGCUUGAUCUUUAAGGUCUUCACAAAAGGUGAAAUAGGCUCUCAUCUGGACAAUAGCAAAAUUUCCACCAAUCCAUCACACCCACAUACAUCUAUCAAGCCCAGUAGCAUGUAAAAGCCAAAAUUACGGACAUAACAAUGAGAAUUUAAAGUGCGAGCAGUAUGUUAUACUACCAAACAACUAGCAAAUCAAACGACCAAGGGGAGAAGAGAGACGGUGCUCACAACGCUGAGAUGUGAGACUCGUGAAUCUCUUUCCUGAUUUGGGACCUCUGGUCAUUGUUAUCGCCAGCAACUUCUCCAUCGAAGACCACCUCCAUGGCAACCAGGUUCGAACUAUGGCUUCCUUCCGGACUGGUGGACCAAAAGGAGAAGCUGGAUGUGACUAUUAUGGGCUGGCUCAGGGUCGGCAUGUAUAACAUGUGUAGCAAGGUUGUAUGGCCACGCCAAUGACGGUUAUUUCUCAGCGGAAAAGUACAAACAUUACGUACAGUUCACAGUAUUCCACACUUGUUUGUCGCCUUUUUCCUUAUAAUGGGGAGAUUCCAAAGUUGGCUUCACGAGCAUUAUUUGGCAAGGUGGUUGGCAAAUUGUCAACUUCUCCACAUCAUUCAGGGCAGUAAACCGCACAUAUUAGACAUUGAGCAAAAAAUGGAAACCUCUGUUUUCCACCCCCCCACCCCUCUACUUCUGUUUUUUCAUGUUGUUCCUAGCUUGAUAUGGAUGCCAUGUCACACAAAACCUUCUAACACAGAAUGUGGUGGGCGAAACACUUGCCACGUCAGACCAAACCAUGCACAAAUACUUCCCUUCCCUGGAAUGUAAUCAGAUCGGGAAGAAACAUAAUUAGAGUUAAGUGGCGGUGGGAAAAACGUAGGUUUUCAUAUUUUUUUCUCAAAAUCUAAUACGUGCGGUGGGGUCUACUGCCCAGUGGAGAAUGAAGGGGACUGCCACCCACCUCGCCAAAUAACGCUCGGGAAGCCAGCUUUGCAACCUUCACAUUAUAAGGGAAAAGGCGACAAAGUAGUGUGAAGCAGUGUGAAUUGUUCAUAAUGAACUUUUGUACUUUUUCGCUGACAAGUGUCAUUCGCGUGGCCAUACGACCUUGCUCUACAUGUCAUACAUGCCAACCCCUGAGGCAGCCCAUAAUAUUCGCAUCCAGCUUCUCUUGGACCACUAGUCCUGAAGGAAUCCAUAGUUUGAACCUGGGUGCCAUGGAGGUGGUCUUUGUUGGAGGAGGUGCUGGUGGUGCCAAUGACUGGAUGUCCCAAAUCAGGAAACAGACUCGUGAGUCUCACAUGUCAACACUAUGAGAACCGUCUCUCCCCGCCCCCUGGCUGUUCCAUUCGCUAGUUGUUUGCUAGUGUAUCAUCCUGCUCACGCUUCAAAUUCGCAUUGCCAUAUUUGUAAUUUUGGUUUCUACAUGCUCCUGGGCGUCAUAGAUGUAUAUGGAUGUGAUGGAUUGAUGGAAAAUUUUGGUGUUGUCAAGAUGAGAACAUAAUUCACCUUUUGUGAAGUCCUUUAAGAUCAAGCAGAGGACAUGUUCACUGAUCACUGCUUUUGAUUGGAGCUGUGGCUUAUUCUUCUUCAGGAUGUUGCGAUGAUGUUGAUAGCAGGCAUAGCCUUUUCAGGACUUAUUUGCGGAAACAGAAUGUUCCUUUUGCCUUUGUCAAAUAUAGAAAUAUUCUGAUCGAAAAAAAGCUGGUACUUCUAUUUUUGUGUGUUAUGGUUAUUUACUACCAUAUUCUGAAUAAAGAAACGUCAUAUGGUGGGAGGUAUCAUACUACUGGAAGAAGAAUUUUGUGUUGUGAAGGCUUUAUGUUUUCAUACCUGCGUCUGUGCUCUUCGACAUUUAUUUCGUUAUGUCGCUGUUUUAUUUUCUAAAAAUACUGCCAGGCCUAAUACAAACUAAAGCCAGGUAUAAUCACAAAAACAAUUAGAUUUCUGAAAACAAAUCUUCCUCGUCAUUUUUAAUUUAUAGCUUGUUAGACUUCUUCUCUCUCCUAGUUCAUAUUUAUUAACAGUGGAAAGUAUCUAGUGCAAACUAUCAACGACGAUGCGCAGACAUGGAGCAGACUGGGGAUGAAAGGGGUGUACGGGGUUCUCCCUGGGGUUUAGUGUGUGCGUGCUACCGCUUGGACGAGCGAUCCUGUGUGCAUUCAUGUGCACGAAUUUUUCUUUAUCGACCCUAUCUAUCAAUGAAAUGAUACACAAGCCUUCUGCAUAUUUGCGAAAAUAUUUUGAAGUACUCGCCGCAAGUACAACUCAUUCUUCAGUCAACUUUCAUUCCAUUAUUAUGUCUUCUAAAGCAUGGUAUCUAGUAUGCUUUCUGCAUACCUUGUGAAUACUGAUAUUGCAUUUCACAGAAUGGGAGGAAGGUUUAUUUCUUUUAAUGUUCUUUUUCCUUGAGCUGUUGAAAGCAUAUCUAUUUAGGCUGCAAGCUAAAAGAUUUGGUGUGUGUUUUUAUUUUCAGGCUGAUUAUGAUUAUAAGCUGUACAAUAGGUUGCGUUGUUUUUAUCAAAUGUUUGAACUCAGCUGUGAUGUUUCUGCAACGAAUUUGUAGUAGUCAAAUCAUUCAGGCACGGAGUAAUCUUCAGGGGGUGCUAUCUAGUGGUAAUCAAUAGCAACAUAUCCUAUAGGAAAUGAAGAGAAGCCUUGCUGUGAUGACAGGAUUACCGUCCUUCAUGAGAGCAUACUCCAUCAUAUCAUGUCCUUUAUGCCAGCACAGGAGGUUGUACGCACAAGCAUGAUAUCCCGAACAUGCUGUCCAUUAUGGACUUCAGUGCCAUGCCUUGAUAUGGAUAUGUAUCACUUUGAUAUGGACAGAUUAAAGUUCAGCAAGUUUGCAGAAAGUUUGUUUGAGCAGCGGGUUGAAGGCUAUACUGCUUGCCGAUGCAAGAUCUCUCGGGCAUAUCGUGUCUACGUCAGGACAGACUAGACCGUUCCUGCUUUCCAUAGGAAGCUGAGCUCAUCGUUCUUCUACAUAUGGAAUGCAUCUUAGCAUAAGCUUUUGCUCUGGACAUGCGUGGGACUUAAUCUAGCUAGACAUUUGGUUGUUGAAUGUCGUACUGAAUCCCUGCCCUCUGUCCUGACAUGGACCUGUUAGCAUGUACUACUACUUGUGUGUGACUUGUGAGAAACUUGCUCCCAUUUUAUCUUGGCUGAUGGAUGAACAUUGCAACUCAUUCUGUGUUCCUUUUGGUUUCGUGAUGUUAGCUGAACUGGUCAAGCCAGUGCCGGUAA
Aegilops tauschii subsp. strangulata is the source of this 3742-nucleotide long non-coding RNA. RefSeq lists it as uncharacterized. The record is from RefSeq and is a predicted model, not a curated record. Lineage: Eukaryota; Viridiplantae; Streptophyta; Magnoliopsida; Poales; Poaceae.